RNAcentral lists this ribosomal RNA (253 nucleotides) under uncultured bacterium. RNAcentral describes it as "partial 16S ribosomal RNA". It matches the Rfam family "Bacterial small subunit ribosomal RNA", at positions 524 to 776 of the family's 1533-position model. The record is from RNAcentral.
UACGUAGGAGGCAAGCGUUGUCCGGAAUUACUGGGCGUAAAGCGCGUGUAGGUGGUGGGACAAGUCUGCUGUGAAAGCGCCUGGCUUAACCGGGCGAGGUCGGCGGAAACUGUCCGACUCGAGGACGGUAGAGGGGGGUGGAAUUCCCGGUGUAGUGGUGGAAUGCGUAGAGAUCGGGAGGAACACCGGUGGCGAAGGCGGCUCACUGGGCCGGACCUGACGCUGAGGCGCGAAAGCGUGGGGAGCGAUCCGG